UCGAGAAUUUUUCUCAAUGGGCGAAAGCCUGAAGGAGCGACGCCGCGUGGAGGAUGAAGGUCUUCGGAUUGUAAACUCCUGUCAUUAGAGAACAAUGUGCAUCUAUUAACUGUGGGUGCAUUGAUAGUAUCUGAAGAGGAAGGGACGGCUAACUCUGUGCCAGCAGCCGCGGUAAUACAGAGGUCCCAAGCGUUGUUCGGAUUCAUUGGGCGUAAAGGGUGCGUAGGUGGUGCCGUAAGUUGGGUGUGAAAUCUCGGGGCUCAACCCCGAAACUGCAUUCGAUACUGCGGUGCUUGAGUAUUGGAGAGGAGAUUGGAAUUCACGGUGUAGCAGUGAAAUGCGUAGAUAUCGUGAGGAAGACCAGUGGCGAAGGCGGAUCUCUGGACAAUCACUGACACUGAGGCACGAAGGCCAGGGGAGCAAACGG
This 427-nucleotide ribosomal RNA is filed under the name uncultured bacterium. RNAcentral's name for it is "bacterial SSU rRNA". It matches the Rfam family "Bacterial small subunit ribosomal RNA", at positions 355 to 775 of the family's 1533-position model. The record is from RNAcentral.